CCUACGGGUGGCAGCAGUAGGGAAUAUUGCUCAAUGGGGGAAACCCUGAAGCAGCAACGCCGCGUGGAGGAUGAAGGUUUUCGGAUUUUAAACCUCUUUUUUUAGGGAAGUUAAUGACGUUAUCUAACGAAUAAGCACCGUCUAACUCCGUGCCAGCAGCCGCGGUAAUACGGAGGGUGCCAGCGUUACUCGGAAUUACUGGGCGUAAAGAGCGCGUAGGCGGGAUAGCAAGUCAGAUGUGAAAUCCUAUGGCUUAACCAUAGAACUGCAUUUGAAACUGUUAUUCUGGAGUAUGGGAGAGGUAGGUGGAAUUCGUGGUGUAGGGGUAAAAUGCGUAGAGAUCAAGAGGAAUACUCAUUGCGAAGGCGACCUGCUGGAACAUAACUGACGCUGAUGCGCGAAAGCGUGGGGAGCAAACAGGAUUAGAUACCCCUGUAGUC
RNAcentral lists this ribosomal RNA (440 nucleotides) under uncultured bacterium. Its description in RNAcentral is "partial 16S ribosomal RNA". It matches the Rfam family "Bacterial small subunit ribosomal RNA", at positions 338 to 795 of the family's 1533-position model. The record is from RNAcentral.